AUACAGUCGGUGCCUUUGGUAAUUGGCCAAUUCAUGGAAAUGGUCGAUCAGAAUAAUGGGAUUGUUGGAUCCACCACUGGUUCUAAUUAUUAUGUUAGGAUUCUCAGCACUAUUAAUCGCGAGCUUCUUAAACCCUCCGCCUCCGUCGCUUUGCACCGUCACUCUAACGCCUUAGUCGACGUCUUGCCUCCUGAGGCCGAUUCUAGUAUAUCUCUGCUCAGCCAGUCGGAGAAGCCUGACGUGACCUAUAAUGAUAUUGGCGGAUGUGAUAUUCAAAAGCAAGAAAUUCGUGAAGCAGUAGAGUUACCUCUUACUCAUCAUGAACUGUACAAACAAAUUGGUAUUGAUCCUCCUCGUGGUGUUUUGCUUUACGGACCCCCUGGAACUGGUAAAACUAUGCUUGCCAAGGCCGUUGCUAAUCAUACAACUGCAGCCUUCAUAAGAGUCGUUGGGUCUGAAUUUGUUCAGAAGUAUUUG
This 477-nucleotide unclassified non-coding RNA is filed under the name Hevea brasiliensis (rubber tree). Lineage: Eukaryota; Viridiplantae; Streptophyta; Magnoliopsida; Malpighiales; Euphorbiaceae. The record is from RNAcentral.